GACGAACGCUGGCGGCGUGCUUAACACAUGCAAGUCGAACGAAGUGGCGAACGGGUGAGUAAUACGUGGGUAACCUGCCCUCCUUUUUGGGAUAAGCCUUGGAAACGGGGUCUAAUACCGAAUAAAGGGGGAUGGGCUCGCGGCCUAUCAGGUUGUUGGGGGGGUGAUGGCCUACCAAGGCGGUGCCGGGUAGCCGGCCUGAGAGGGGGACAGGCAACAUGAGGACGUAGAGACGGCCCAGAGUCCUACGAGAGGCAGCAGUGGGGGAGAGGGCACAAUGGGCGAAAGCCUGAUGCAGCGACGUCGCGUGGGGGAUGAAGGCUUUCGGGGUGUAAACCUCGGACGCUAUCGAACCGGUAGGUGGAGAAGAAGCGCCGGCUAACUACGUGCCAGCAGCCGCGGUAAUAC
RNAcentral lists this ribosomal RNA (408 nucleotides) under uncultured bacterium. Its description in RNAcentral is "partial 16S ribosomal RNA". It matches the Rfam family "Bacterial small subunit ribosomal RNA", at positions 28 to 526 of the family's 1533-position model. The record is from RNAcentral.